AGUGAUUAGAGUUUGAUCCUGGCUCAGAUUGAACGCUGGCGGCGUGCCUAACACAUGCAAGUCGAGCGGCAGCGCGGGAGCAAUCCUGGCGGCGAGCGGCGGACGGGUGAGUAACGCUUGGGAAUCUGCCUGUUAGUGGGGGACAACCCGGGGAAACUCGGGCUAAUACCGCAUACGCACUACGGUGGAAAGCCGGGGACCGCAAGGCCUGGCGCUAACAGAUGAGCCCAAGUCGGAUUAGCUAGUUGGUAGGGUAACGGCCUACCAAGGCGACGAUCCGUAACUGGUCUGAGAGGACGACCAGUCACACCGGAACUGAGACACGGUCCGGACUCCUACGGGAGGCAGCAGUGGGGAAUAUUGGACAAUGGGGGAAACCCUGAUCCAGCGACGCCGCGUGGGUGAAGAAGGCCUGCGGGUUGUAAAGCCCUUUCAGUGGGGAAGAAAAGCCUCGAGUUAACACCUCGGGGUCUUGUACGUAA
Molecule: ribosomal RNA, 482 nt
Filed under: uncultured Gammaproteobacteria bacterium
Lineage: Bacteria; Pseudomonadati; Pseudomonadota; Gammaproteobacteria
Description: bacterial SSU rRNA
Rfam family: Bacterial small subunit ribosomal RNA
Source: RNAcentral